RNAcentral lists this transfer RNA (63 nucleotides) under Metula amosi. RNAcentral describes it as "transfer RNA-Val". Lineage: Eukaryota; Metazoa; Mollusca; Gastropoda; Neogastropoda; Buccinidae. The record is from RNAcentral.
AAAACAUAGUAUAAAUAAUACAUUUCAUUUACACUGAAAAUAUACUUUCUAUUAAGUUGUUUU